GGCUGAAUAGCAUAAAGGUAAUGUGCGAGAUUGCAAAUCUUAAAAUGAUGGUUCGAUUCCGUCUUUAGCUU
Molecule: transfer RNA, 71 nt
Filed under: Stephanopyxis turris
Lineage: Eukaryota; Bacillariophyta; Melosirophyceae; Stephanopyxales; Stephanopyxidaceae
Description: tRNA-Cys
Rfam family: tRNA
About the family: Transfer RNA (tRNA) molecules are approximately 80 nucleotides in length.
Source: RNAcentral